Molecule: long non-coding RNA, 2063 nt
Organism: Acinonyx jubatus (cheetah)
Lineage: Eukaryota; Metazoa; Chordata; Mammalia; Carnivora; Felidae
Exons: 4
Source: RefSeq, a predicted model, not a curated record
GGUCACUGCUGCCUGCGGCCCUGCGGGCUGGCGUGAACCACGGGUGUCUGCCCCGGGGCGGAGCUCUCUCAGCUGGUGACGUUUGCCGCUAGCCUCCACAUAGUGAGCUCCCGGGCAGGUCCCCUCGUGAGGCUGAAGAGCUUUGUGGUGCCUUCGGCCCCAUUUCUGGGCUGCGUGGAGCAGAACUUCAGGAGACCAUCUGUCAUCCCCUGGAGGUUUAGAAGAAAGAAGAGAGUAGGGAUGACUGGAGCUCCUCUGCCCACUCGUGGGGUCCCAGCCAGUGUGGGACACCUCUGGCGGAGACCCAGGGGCUGCAGGACGACCUGCUCUGAUGCCCGGGAGCCUCAGUUUCCCCCGUAAGAGGACAGGUUUGACCAGAGGCCCUGUGGAGCCCACCCUGGCCACCCUCGCUCUCUUUCUGUGGCUCGGGCCCCUGUACAUACGCUUCUGUCCCUUUCCACAUAUCUCCAUGCCUUUCAGAUGCAUCAGCCUUCUCUCCUAGACUCUUAGCUCCCGAAGCUAGGACUCGAUCCCUGAGGCUCGUGGUGGGUCGCCCGACCCCCUCCCCUACUUUGUUUUGGGGGCGCGGCUCCAGGCCUGGGCAGCAUGCCAGGAUGUGCCUGCAGGUGCCAUGCGGGAGUUUGCCCUGCUGGGAGGGAGCACGUCCCAGGGCCCUGUUGGUGAGGGACCCUCAGGGACACGUGCAGAGAGAAACGCCUUGGAGAGUCCUCACUGGGAGGCUUUUCACAUGAGCCUUUUCUUUGAUGUUUCAGUCAGACUCAAUCCUGACAAUUGGGGCAUAAAUCCUGUGCUUUUGAAAGGGUUUUUAUCCUCGGAAUCCCAGCAUCCAUUGGGAAGAUGUCGCAGAGAAGGCUGCCCUGGACAAGAAAGGAGACCGUAGACGUACGAAUAGCUGCGCACACUUUGCUUCCAGACGCCCGGGUUUGAAUCCUGGCCCAGCCAACUGCUUGCUGUGUAUUUGCUUUGGCAAGCUGUGUAAACAGUCUGAGCCUGAGUGUCCACGACUAUAGAAUGGAGGCCACGUGGCACCUUCUCACAGAGCUGUGAGCAGAGACGUGCCCGGGGAAGGCCCUGAGCCAAGCCCAGCACCCACAUGUGGAGAAUGGCCACCACUGCUCUGUGUUUUAAUGGGGCGCUGCUGGUGGGGGCAGCCAUCUACCUGGUCUCUCAAGAAUAAUGGGACCCCAGAAAUGGGGUGUCUGCUAGGAGAGAGCACCACAGAGGCAGGACUUUCAGGGGAGAAGAGAAGCAGCGCCCCAGAACUCAUCCUGCAGUGCCUGAGGAAACCCACGUAGCACAGCUGGCGUGGGUGGGCCCCGCCCCACUCUCAGGGGUCAUACGAAGGUCAAUGCGGCCCCGCCCCACUUUCAGGGUCAUACGAAGGUCAAUGCGGCCCCGCCCCACUUUCAGGGUCAUACGAAGGUCGGUGUGGCUCCGCCCCACUUGUCAGGGUCAUACGAAGGUCAAUGCGGCCCCGCCCCACUUUCAGGGUCAUACGAAGGUCAGUGUGGCUCUGCCCCACUUGUCAGAGUCAUACGAAGGUCGGUGUGGCCCCGCCCCACUUUCAGGGUCAUACGAAGGUCGUCGCCCCUUGACCACUUUUGUGGGUCUAAGCAAGUAGCAGUAGCAGUGUUAACAGCAACACCCAAAAGAUAAGAAAACGGUUUUAGGUUCCAGGGUAUCAUAAUUUGUAACGACUGGAGAUGAGGAACACCCAUGGGUAGAGGGUGGCCACACACUGCAGGACACGGUUGCGGGACAAAACGUAUUUAACAACGGGGGCAAACGUCACCAAGCAGGAAGAGCGGUAAGGAGAAACUAGAUAGAGAGCAGUCACAGAGGGAAUUGGAGGAAGCAGACGGGAAGAGACGCAGGCGGAGACUGUAGAUUUGUUUCUUCUCCCCACUGUUCUGUGCUUUCAGAUUCUCUGAAAUGACUAUCGCUUCUCUAAAGGGGGUGAAGUCCAUCGGGUUCAUCCCUGUCGCUGGGUGAAUGAACCAGAACAGGAGUUGGCAUCCUGUGUAAAAAUAUUUUGUUGGCAC